Molecule: ribosomal RNA, 520 nt
Filed under: uncultured Glomus
Lineage: Eukaryota; Fungi; Glomeromycota; Glomeromycetes; Glomerales; Glomeraceae
Description: SSU rRNA
Rfam family: Eukaryotic small subunit ribosomal RNA
Source: RNAcentral
AGCAGCCGCGGUAAUUCCAGCUCCAAUAGCGUAUAUUAAAGUUGUUGCAGUUAAAAAGCUCGUAGUUGAAUUUCGGGAUCAAUACGUCGGUCGUGCUUUCGGGUACGUACUGGCGUCAUUGGUUUCUCCUUUCUGACGAACCAUGAUGUCAUUAAUUUGGUGUUAUGGGGAGUUAGGACUGUUACUUUGAAAAAAUUAGAGUGUUUAAAGCAGGCAUUAGCUUGAAUACAUUAGCAUGGAAUAAUGAAAUAGGACGUUCGAUCCUAUUUUGUUGGUUUCUAGGAUCAACGUAAUGAUUAAUAGGGAUAGUUGGGGGCAUUAGUAUUCGAUUGUCAGAGGUGAAAUUCUUGGAUUUAUUGAAGACUAACUACUGCGAAAGCAUUUGCCAAGGAUGUUUUCAUUAAUCAAGAACGAAAGUUAGGGGAUCGAAGACGAUCAGAUACCGUCGUAGUCUUAACCAUAAACUAUGCCGACUAGGGAUCGGAUGAUGUUAAUUUUUUUAAUGACUCAUUCGGCGCCU